The sequence is a regulatory RNA element, 200 nucleotides long. It matches the Rfam family "Baculoviridae Nucleocapsid Assembly essential Element". From Rfam's summary of the family: Internal cis-element within the ac83 gene. The record is from Rfam.
CACUUUUUGACGCGUAUAUUUACCAAUAUACUACAUUCUGAUGUCUGUAUCUACAUUUUUGGCAAAAUCGACGAGUCAUAUACUACGAUUGCACACAAAUAUACUACACUGACCCCUCAAAUAUAUUACGAUCGCGAAAAACGGCCAAAAUAUAUUGAAGUAUAUGGGGCAAAUAUACAAAAAAACAACUCUACGAUUUU